GAUCCUGGCUCAGGAUAAACGCUGGCGGCGCACAUAAGACAUGCAAGUCGAACGGAAGUCGUUGUAAUGAUAUAGACAUGGACGGAGAACUUGUUCAAAGAAAGUGAAAGUUGACUUACAACAAUGGCCUUAGUGGCGGACUGGUGAGUAACACGUAAGCAACCUGCCUAUCAGAGGGGAACAACAGUUAGAAAUGGCUGCUAAUACCGCAUAUGCCUAAGUAUCAC
Molecule: ribosomal RNA, 227 nt
Filed under: uncultured bacterium
Lineage: Bacteria
Description: partial 16S ribosomal RNA
Rfam family: Bacterial small subunit ribosomal RNA
Source: RNAcentral